UGCAAGUCGAGGGGUAACAUUGUAGCUUGCUACAGAUGACGACCGGCGCACGGGUGCGUAACGCGUAUACAAUCUACCUUUUGCUGAGGGAUAGCCCAGAGAAAUUUGGAUUAAGACCUCAUGGUAUUACACGAUCGCAUGAUUGAGUAAUUAAAGGUUACGGCAAGAGAUGAGUAUGCGUCCUAUUAGCUAGAUGGUAAGGUAACGGCUUACCAUGGCUACGAUAGGUAGGGGCCCUGAGAGGGGGAUCCCCCACACUGGUACUGAGACACGGACCAGACUCCUACGGGAGGCAGCAGUGAGGAAUAUUGGGCAAUGGAGGCAACUCUGACCCAGCCAUGCCGCGUGCAGGAAGACUGCCCUAUGGGUUGUAAACUGCUUUUAUACAGGAAGAAACACUCCCUCGGGUAGGGAGCUUGACGGUACUGUAAGAAUAAGGAUCGGCUAACUCCGUGCCAGCAGCCGCGGUAAUACGGAGGAUCCAAGCGUUAUCCGGAAUCAUUGGGUUUAAAGGGUCCGUAGGUGGAUAAUUAAGUCAGAGGUGAAAUCCUGCAGCUCAACUGUAGAAUUGCCUUUGAAACUGGUUAUCUUGAGUCAUUAUGAAGUGGUUAGAAUGUGUAGUGUAGCGGUGAAAUGCAUAGAUAUUACAC
RNAcentral lists this ribosomal RNA (650 nucleotides) under uncultured bacterium. RNAcentral's name for it is "bacterial SSU rRNA". It matches the Rfam family "Bacterial small subunit ribosomal RNA", at positions 56 to 702 of the family's 1533-position model. The record is from RNAcentral.